ACUCAGUUGUUGCUUCUGACUGUCACUUUAUCACUGUGAUUACUUCUUUACAGAUCCUGGAAAAGAGAAAGAAUUGAAGUCUCCAGCUGCCACAAAAGACAAAGAGCACACUAAAGAAAAAGAAGAAAAGAAUCCUACAGCUUUAAAAGAAAAAGAGUCUCUGAAAGGAAAAAAUCCCAAUCCAGAGGGGGCGAAGGAGAAAGAGCCUGGUAAAAGAAAAGAUGUGAAGCCUCCAGCAGUUUUGAAGGAAAAGGAGUCUUUAAAAGGAAAAGAAAUGAUGACUUCAACUUCCAUAAAGGAAAAAGCUGUGGUGAAAAAGGAAGAGGAGAAGAAAGAAGAGAAAACUAAACAACAAAAGACAGCUUCCACCAAGAAAUCAGAGCACGAAGCUGUCAAACAUGAGAAAGGCGUUCCAUUAACAAAACCAGGUAGGCAUCCAGCAUCUUAUGCGCUUGUUACUUUUGAAACU
This 469-nucleotide long non-coding RNA is filed under the name Struthio camelus australis. Its description in RNAcentral is "lncRNA (ENSSCUG00000011362.1)". Lineage: Eukaryota; Metazoa; Chordata; Aves; Struthioniformes; Struthionidae. The record is from RNAcentral.